This is a long non-coding RNA of Notolabrus celidotus (New Zealand spotty), 4856 nucleotides long. RefSeq lists it as uncharacterized. The record is from RefSeq and is a predicted model, not a curated record. The transcript has 5 exons. Lineage: Eukaryota; Metazoa; Chordata; Actinopteri; Labriformes; Labridae.
CUUUGUCUGAUUACCUUGUGUGUAUUUAGUCUCUGUGUUUCCUCUGUUCUGUUUCAGUUCUUUGAGUCUUACCUGUGCAUCUUUCCCCUGUGUUCUUGUUUCUUCUUUUGUGAUUCUUGUAUUUUUGUACUUUGUGUUUUCCCGUGUGGAUGUUUGGAUUUCCCCCUCCUGUGUUUUUGCUGGAUAUUUACUUCGAAUGAUGUCUUGGACUUUUAAGAUUUGGACACUUUAAAAGAUGAGGCGGUUCUUGAAAAGUUAAGUUCACCACAACUGGACAGGAUCUUGGAAAACUGGCCAAUCAGAGGAAAGUGGACUCUUACAGCGGAGGGGGAGUCCUACAGCGGCAGGAGCUAAACCAGACUGUUUCAGGCUGAGGAUGAAAUGAAGAGCUGCAUAAAGGAGAGCCAACAAAAAAAGAUGAACAGGAACUGCUUCGCUGAUACAGGAAACCCAUGGAUUGCUGGCAUCAGAAAAGUCUCCUCUGGAUUCAAUGAGUGAAGAAAUGAAGGGUCCUGACCUCCCAGAAAAAGCUGCUCAGGAGAUGUUACCCUCCACACAUUGACCUCUUGACCAUCUCAGGUGCUGCAGCUGCAGUGACCCUGCAAUAUCUGCACAGUGUGUGUAAGUGAACCGGACAGCAGAGUGAAGAACGGACCUCUGGAGACCUACCAGCAGUAAUCAGAAGGUGUCUGGUUCAGAUCCCAUGUGGAGUGAGUCAGAGUGGCCCAAAGUGAGAGCCAUUAUCUGACCUCUCCUCUGUGGAUGCUCCUGGAAACGAUGCUGAAGGGUGAAACUACCACUGUGGGUAAAGGCGCCAUCCUGCGAGUGAAAUAAUGAAUUUGGUUUCGGUGCUGAUGACAACUUUAUGCACUGCUAUUUGUCUGUGAGAGGUGACAAGCAGGACAAAGGGCGGUCGUGUGGUUUUGUGUUCUCCUGGACAAGAGGGACAGACAGUGGUGGUACUUAAAGACCACUGGAGGCUGUUUGAUAUAAAAGGGAAGGCUGGAGUCUGAUAUGAUGACACCUCUCACAUCCCCCUGUCUCGCUUUGUGUUGAUCCAUCUGGAUGUUAUUUCCUCCCUGCCUCAGAGUGUGUCUAAGUCACCUCCUUCAUUCUUGUCUCACAGACACCAUGUUUCAAAGCCUGCCAGCUGGGGAAAGAGGAUUUAGGGAGAGUUGCUCAGAGUUGGUGGAAGUGAAGAACUUCAGAUAAGAACUCAGAUAAGAUCAUUGUAGUUGUACUUUCAUUCAAUGAAGUUAAAUGAUGAAGGAACUUAACACUGAGUCUGCUUUUUUGACUCCAGCUGUUUAGUUGCAUUAAUUGCAUUUUUUUAAAUCUUCUCCAGUGUUUUGUGGGUCUAUGACAUUGUUAUGUUACUAAAGCAGAUAAAACAACCUUUACAAAAAAAAUGGUCAUACAAUUUUGGAAAUAACCUCAAAACAAAAAUCAAACAUUAAUUUAUUUUCUGGUUGUCAGACCAGGGAAAGCUCAUGUUCGACACUGUUUCAGAGAUGUGGGAAGAAUGAAGUCUGUUUUAUAUUUCUACAUUUUCAAAGUUGGAGACCAAAGGAAAACCACUGGGCACAGUAUGAGCAUGCACACAGAUCCUACAAUAUGUGUGAAAUUGUGUGGUUAUGAUUUGUUACAUUCAUUUGAGGUGUAUGCAAUGAUGCUUAAAGGAUAACAAAAAUACAAAAGCAGAAGAAGCAUUCAGAGUCACAAUUUCCACACAGAUAUUACGCUCCCCAAAGAAGGCUAUGAGAUGACAAAAGUUGCAAUAAAAAAUACAUCAAAGGAAAAGGAGUGAAAGAAGUAUAAGCAAAAUUACAGAGUUUAUUAACAAACCUAAAGGAAAUUUGAAAUGCAAAAGAAGCAGUCAAAAAACACAAAAGAGAAGCUAAGUUUUCUCAAAUAAUUCUGAAAAUUAAAACAAUAGAUAAACUCUAAUGCCUCGAAUGAAAAGUAAAGUAAGUAAACUUUAUUCAUACAGCGCUUUUCACAGACAGAAGUCACAAAGUUCUUUACAAAGACAAGACACACUGAAAACAAUAAAAUAAAACCUAUAGGCAGCAUAACACAACCUUCCACAAAAUAAGGAGUAAGCAAGUGCAGAUGGACAUAAACACACACACACACACACACGCUAAAUGGCCAACUGAUAACUGUUUCUAUACUGAUCUAGUCAAUAAGGAGUUAGAAAAAGUUACCUUAUUCUUGUUUAAUACUUUUUUACAAGUGUCUCAAAAUAAAUAGAAAAUAGUUGUUGGAUGUUUCCUUCCUCACAACUGGGAAUCAUAUCACAGGAUCAGAAAUUGGCAGAAAUAAAUUCACAGCAUUAUGUUGUGGACUAUAUUAAUGUUAGGGAUAUAGGGUUUAGGUUUACUGUUGUACCUAGAGUGGCUAACAGUCGACACAGCCGUUGUUAGGAGAAGCAGGCAAAUAGUUACUCCACAGAUGCUGCAACGGGCCAUGAGCAACAAGUAUGGUGGCUAUACUUUAAAGUCCUACAUGUUAAAAACUAAAUCAGAUGAAGUGUAUGUAAAUUUUUUUAACCUCUACACUGCUUUACCUUAAUGUCAGACAGCCCUUACAACUGGCAUACUUCCCUGUAUACCUCCACAUACUGAGCGACUGAUUUGGUCAGUGGAGGUGGAAGAGUCACGAUGGAUAAUGUAUUACUGAAACAACAGCAUUGGUCACUUUACGAAACACAAAACCUUUGACGGCUACUCUGCAAAUCUUGUCCCUCUCCAUCUUAUCGAUGAGUCCGACCGUGAGCCCCAAACAUAACAUAAUUUAAUUUGUUUACGAGCCGAAAGAAGAUAAAGCAAUAGAUGUAUAUUUAAGUUUUUCACAAAAAUACUUUAAAACAUCUGAGAAGUCAAAACGGAAAUCUCUGUCAGUCCAAGCAGGGGAAAGAUUUCCUUUAUUGUGUGAAAAAUGUAAUUUAGAGCAGUCACUGUGUCACAGCAGGAGCCGGGUGUCAAUAUUUGACCAUAGACAGCUGCAUUUUCUCUCUGCUUAGCAUUCUCUUUGAUAGACCAAGAGGAGGAGAAAGUAUUAACUGCAGAGACCUCAAGUUGUGACUCGCAUAAUGACAUGGGCACAUCUGACAAACAGACAUAAGCAGCUAGUUUAUUGAGAUUCAUAAUGCAUUCGUGUCUGCUCAAUUUAAACUUUUGUACAGUCUAGGAGGAGGUGAGUGUUUGUGUGUAUAUGCGUGUGUGUGUAUAUGCGUGUGUGUGUGUGUGAGAAUAGAGGCCCUCUUAACUUGCAAGUUUCUGAUGUCCUUACUUUCUUAUGGAAAGUCUGCCGGAACUUCUUGUCAGGCCUCUGAGGGGUGAAACAGAUUCAGAGUUUGUGCAAUCUCAUGCCAAAUUUGCAUCAGCAAAAUAUGUGUAGCAUGGCUAGCAUACUUAAUGCAUUCUAGAAUGAUGGAUGUUGAUGGCUGCUAAACUUUGGGACACUGAUGGAGAGGGGUGUAAUGAAAAAAGGUGAAGAAGGCAUUUUAUUUACAAACAGCACUAGAUGUGUUUGAGUUGCAGACACAUCCUUGUACUGCGAGUCAUAUAGAAAAAUUAACUGUCAUAAUUGAGUGGAAUUUUGACUCCUCCUGAAUGCUCUGCUCACUACUAACCCUUCAAAAUAAAACAAAAUGUUCAGAAUAGUGAGAGCAAGUCAGACAUAUCAUCUCCCACGUGAGGUCCAAACAGAGCGUAAAAGCAGGUAUGUUUCCCUAUCUUUGUACCUGGCUCAUUGAAUCAUGAGCCAAUGCCCUCCUGAAUAUUCACCAUCAGUUUUCUUUGAUUUAUUAUCUUUACAACAGUUUGUUAAAUUCCCUUUGGUUAUAUCAGUUGAUGCCUGGAUCAGCAGCACAAUCAGAAACAAACGUCUAUUUAUUCAAACACUGCAGAACUGCAUGGUCAGACAAGUAGGACACAUGCAAUAGCAGCAUGUAUUUUAAUCUGCAGCAUAAACUGAUCACAUACUCUCUGCAAUUCCACUCGAAAGCACUUCUGUCUGGAAAAUGUUCACACCUUUCCAACUCCAAAUCCCCACUUUGUAAGGCUGGCCUCACAUUAGACGAUUUUAGGCUCAAUUUGAUCAAGGGGCGUGGCCUGAUUCAAGGCUUGUCAUAAUCGAUUAUUUCUCCAGAUAACCCUCAAGUGUGUGGUCUAGUGGUCUUAAGGAAUUGUUUAAUGGUGUUCAAACGAUUGUGAUGUUAAAAAACAGUCAGAUCUGUCUUUAUGUGUGAGGUCUCCCCAAUUUUAAAAACAGUUAAGAUCUAAGUGUGCAUCCAGCCAAAUGCUGAUCCAAGAUUCUGAAAGAGUCUCAGGAUGCCCUCAGCAGUAUAUCUGACCAUUACUCCUUGUGUCAAGUUAACUGAUCUUCAGAAAUAAAUUCUUAGCUUACCCCUUUAAUUGGGACAUAAAUGUCUGAGAAAAGUGUCUCAUUAAGCCUCCAGAUGUACAUAAAGAAUGCCAUGUGCAGUAUUCUGAGGCCUGUCAGUCUGAGCCGAGAGUGUUAAUAACUACUGUCUCUCUGAAACAAGGGCUGUGAUUAGUGUCCAGACUAUGAAGGAGUAAUUCUGCUCCAGAGGGCUCAUUUGCUCCUUAACACCCACUGUCAUUAAAUCCCAGCGCCCAGUAAAGCGAUUAUUCAGCGAUAAAGUUUUAAUUGUGUCAUUGUGUGUGAAGAAGGUGGCGGGUGGAUAAUUAGCAGUCUUGGAGGUUGUACAGAGGGACAGUGGUGGUGUGUCUCAGAGACAAGUGUCACACUAAAGAGGAGAAACUUAAACUGAAUUUGUCAGCCUGUUCUCUUUUCACCCUAAUGCUUGAAUAAAACUGAUAAUAUAA